This 463-nucleotide ribosomal RNA is filed under the name uncultured bacterium. RNAcentral's name for it is "partial 16S ribosomal RNA". It matches the Rfam family "Bacterial small subunit ribosomal RNA", at positions 28 to 507 of the family's 1533-position model. The record is from RNAcentral.
GACGAACGCUGGCGGCGUGCUUAACACAUGCAAGUCGAACGGAAAGGCCUUUUCGGUGGUACUCGAGUGGCGAACGGGUGCGUAACACGAGGGUGAUCUGCCCUGCACUCUGGGCUAAGCCUGGGAAACUGGGUCUAAUGCUGGUACGGAACGCCCACUUGAGAGAGUGGUGGAAAGUUUUAACGGUGUAGGAUGAGCCCGCGGCCUAUUGGCUUGUUGGUGGGGGAAAGGCCUACGAAGGAGGGGACGGGUAGCCGGACUGAGGGGUUGGUCGGGCACAUUGGGACUGCGAGACGGCCCAGACGCCUACGGGAGGCAGUGGGGGGGAAUCUUGCCCAAUGGGCGCGAGUCUGAUGCGGCGAUGCCCCGUUGGGGAUGACGUGCUUCGGGUUGAAAACGCCGUUCGCCAGGGACGAAGCGUUUUGUGACGGUACCUGGAGAAGAAGCACCGGCUAACUACGUG